UUCUGGAAUUCUAGGGCAUGGCACCAGCAUCAGGUUGACUCUGCUAUUGCUUUUAUGCUGAGGAUGUCAUUUUACAACUGAAUACACGUCUACUGGGCCCAUCUUCUCAAGACCAUCCACAUGAAGCCUCUUCUGGAAAUGCAGAUGUCCUGGACACAGACAGCAAA
Molecule: non-coding RNA, 167 nt
Organism: Ictidomys tridecemlineatus (thirteen-lined ground squirrel)
Lineage: Eukaryota; Metazoa; Chordata; Mammalia; Rodentia; Sciuridae
Source: RefSeq, a predicted model, not a curated record